GGAGGGCAAGUCUGGUGCCAGCAGCCGCGGUAAUUCCAGCUCCAAUAGCGUAUAUUAAAGUUGUUGCGGUUAAAACGCUCGUAGUUGGAUUUGCGGCCUCGGAGAACGGUCCCCCGAAAGGGUGGUCACUGUCUCUCCUAGCCUAAAUUCGAGUCGUCUCUAGGUGCUCUUUAUUGGGUGCUUAGAGUGACUAGAACUUUUACUUUGAAAAAAUUAGAGUGCUUAAAGCAGGCGAAAUAGCCUGAAUAAGGUGCAUGGAAUAAUGGAAUAGGACCUCGGUUCUAUUUUGUUGGUUUUCGGAACCCGAGGUAAUGAUUAAGAGGAACAGACGGGGGCAUUCGUAUUCCGGCGCUAGAGGUGAAAUUCUUGGACCGCCGGAAGACGGACAACUGCGAAAGCAUUUGCCAAGAAUGUUUUCAUUAAUCAAGAACGAAAGUAGAGGUUCGAAGGCGAUCAGAUACCGCCCUAGUUCUGACCGUAA
RNAcentral lists this ribosomal RNA (481 nucleotides) under Dorylaimida sp. 2 MK-2017. RNAcentral describes it as "SSU rRNA". It matches the Rfam family "Eukaryotic small subunit ribosomal RNA", at positions 550 to 1035 of the family's 1831-position model. Lineage: Eukaryota; Metazoa; Nematoda; Enoplea; Dorylaimida. The record is from RNAcentral.